UGCCAGCCGCCGCGGUAAUACGGAGGGUGCAAGCGUUGUUCGGAAUUAUUGGGCGUAAAGCGCGCGUAGGCGGUUUAUUAAGUCGGAUGUGAAAGCCCUGGGCUUAACCUGGGAACUGCAUUCGAUACUGGUCGACUAGAGUGCAAGAGAGGGAGGUAGAAUUCCAUGUGUAGCGGUGAAAUGCGUAGAUAUGUGGAGGAAUACCGGUGGCGAAGGCGGCCUCCUGGCUUGACACUGACGCUGAGGUGCGAAAGCGUGGGGAGCAAACAGGAUUAGAUA
This 279-nucleotide ribosomal RNA is filed under the name uncultured bacterium. RNAcentral's name for it is "partial 16S ribosomal RNA". It matches the Rfam family "Bacterial small subunit ribosomal RNA", at positions 506 to 784 of the family's 1533-position model. The record is from RNAcentral.